This 331-nucleotide ribosomal RNA is filed under the name uncultured bacterium. RNAcentral's name for it is "bacterial SSU rRNA". It matches the Rfam family "Bacterial small subunit ribosomal RNA", at positions 18 to 344 of the family's 1533-position model. The record is from RNAcentral.
CAUGGCUCAGGACGAACGCUGGCGGCGUGCUUAACACAUGCAAGUCGAACGAUGAAGCCUAGCUUGCUAGGUGGAUUAGUGGCGAACGGGUGAGUAAUACGUGAGUAACCUACCUUUAACUCUGGGAUAAGCCUGGGAAACUGGGUCUAAUACCGGAUACGACCAAUCUCCGCAUGGGGUGUUGGUGGAAAGCGUUAUGUAGUGGUUAUAGAUGGGCUCACGGCCUAUCAGCUUGUUGGUGAGGUAACGGCUCACCAAGGCGACGACGGGUAGCCGGCCUGAGAGGGUGACCGGCCACACUGGGACUGAGACACGGCCCAGACUCCUACGG